Parasteatoda tepidariorum (common house spider) is the source of this 399-nucleotide non-coding RNA. NCBI's taxonomy places the organism in Eukaryota, Metazoa, Arthropoda, Arachnida, Araneae, Theridiidae. The record is from RefSeq and is a predicted model, not a curated record.
AGUCACAAUGUAUAUAAUCUUUAGAAAAGUUAUUAUUAAAGAAAAAUUUGCCUUUACUCACUAUAGACAUUGAAAAAAUCUCUGAUCGACUUGAUUAUGUUAUUCAGUAUUACAAUGUUCCAAAAGAAGUUGAAUCAUCUAUACGUGUUGGCCCAAGUGGUUGUUUACAAACUUAUUUAGAUUACUUGAAAAAAAUCCAGUCCUCCAUUGCAUUUUUCAAGGAGAAUAAUCAAGAUUGCCUAGAACUUGAGGAACUAACCACAUUGUUUGAUGAUGGAACUGAUGCUUUACAACUUGAAUUUCGAAAUCUACUUUCCCGUUACAGUAAACCUAUACCAGCAGUAACAGUCUUAGAUAUGCUUGGAAUGGAUGAAGGUUUGUUGCUGUUUGAUUAAAAAA